Molecule: ribosomal RNA, 253 nt
Filed under: uncultured bacterium
Lineage: Bacteria
Description: partial 16S ribosomal RNA
Rfam family: Bacterial small subunit ribosomal RNA
Source: RNAcentral
GACAGAGGGUGCAAACGUUGUUCGGAAUUACUGGGCGUAAAGCGAGUGUAGGCGGUUUGGUAAGUCGGAUGUGAAAGCCUCGGGCUUAACCCGAGAAGGGCAUCCGAAACUGGCCGGCUUGAGUACGGAAGAGGGUCUCGGAAUUCCCGGUGUAGAGGUGAAAUUCGUAGAUAUCGGGAGGAACACCAGUGGCGAAGGCGGAGACCUGGGCCGAUACUGACGCUGAGGUGCGAAAGCGUGGGGAGCAAACAGG